UAUAUCAGAAAAUAUAUGGUUCGAUUAUGGUUCGUGAUUUUCGAAUGCUUAUGACGUUUUUACAUGCAGUCGAAUGGUACGACUUUGCCCGGUAAGGAGUGGCGAACGGUGAGUAAUGUAUCGGAACGUGCCCAGUAGCGGGGAUAACUACGAAAGCUGCAGCUAAUGCGCCGCCCCCGUGAAAGGGGGACUGCCUUAACAUAGAGUGUCGAUAUCGAUUAGCAGUUGCGGGGCACGGGGCUCACUGGCGCGAUGAUCUGCAGCGCUUCAGAUAGACGACUGUUACACCGGGACCGACAUUGACGGCCCAGACUCCAUUUAUGCGGUGGGUACCCGGGACGGGGCGGCCCCGGACUGUUACCCCGCGGACAGGCGUCUCGUCAAAGCACUUUUUAAGGUGGGGCAGGGUCGCCGGGAUAUUACUCGCAAAAUUCGAUGGUAAUCCCGCAGAAUAAGUACGGCUAAAUUAUGUUACAGCCGCAGCACAUGGGGUGUUAAUGAAAUUACUAAGUAAGCAGCAGGCCCGGAAAGAGAUGCAGGGACCAUAUUUACCCCGGGAACCCAUGCACCACGAGCUGGAGGCCAGAGGGCAGGUGAAUGCAAAGGUGCGAAAUGCCGCAGAUAUGAGGAACACUGAUGGGCUAGGCAAGGUGCUCCCUCAGAUACGACUGACGCCUGCGCACGAAAGCGUGUAUAAACAGAUUUGUGAUCCUGUAGUCCACGCCCCAAACGAUGUCAAUUAGUUGUUGUGCUUUGGUUUUGGCAUAAAGCAAUGCGCAAAGCCGACGUUCGUAUAUGGUCGUGAUUAAAAUUCGUGCGAAUGACGUGACUGCACGAGCUAGUGGACGAUGGAUUAACUGAUGCAACGUGAAAAACCUUACCUACCCUUGACAUGUCUGAACCCGAAGAUUUGGGAGGCUCGCAAGAGAACCGAACACAGGUGCUGGCUGGUUGUCGUCACCGUGUCGUGAGAUGCUGUUGUCCCGCAAUGAGCGCAACCCUUGUCAUUAGUUACAUGAGCGGCACCUAAUGAGACUGCCGGUGAUAAAUCGGAGGAAGGUGGGGAUGACGUCAAGUCCCUCAUGGCCCUUAUGGGUAGGGCUUCACGUCAUACAAUGGUCGGGAUAGAGGGUCGCCAACCCGCGAGGGGAGCCAAUCCCAGAAACCCGAUCAGUCCGAUCGCAGUCUGCAACUGACUGCGUGAAGUCGGAAUCGCCAGUAAUCGCGGAUCAGCAUGUCGCAGUGAAUACGUUCCCGGGUUCUGUACACACUGCCCGUCACACCAUGGGAGGGUUUUACCAGAAGUAUUGUGCCCAAUCAAGGAGGCGAUUACCACGGCAGGAUCUGGCAGAUCGGGGUAGUCGUAAUAAGGUAG
This 1375-nucleotide ribosomal RNA is filed under the name uncultured Bordetella sp. RNAcentral describes it as "partial 16S-23S ribosomal RNA intergenic spacer". It matches the Rfam family "Bacterial small subunit ribosomal RNA". Lineage: Bacteria; Pseudomonadati; Pseudomonadota; Betaproteobacteria; Burkholderiales; Alcaligenaceae. The record is from RNAcentral.